UACGGGGGGGGCUAGCGUUGUUCGGAAUUACUGGGCGUAAAGGGCGCGUAGGCGGCCUACUAAGUCGGACGUGAAAUCCCUCGGCUCAACCGGGGAACUGCGUCCGAUACUGGUGGGCUCGAAUCCGGGAGAGGGAUGUGGAAUUCCAGGUGUAGCGGUGAAAUUCGUAGAUAUUAGGAAGAACACCGGUGGCGAAGGCGGCCCACUGGCUCGAUACUGACGCUGAGGUGCGAAAGCGUGGGGAGCAAACAGG
This 253-nucleotide ribosomal RNA is filed under the name uncultured bacterium. Its description in RNAcentral is "partial 16S ribosomal RNA". It matches the Rfam family "Bacterial small subunit ribosomal RNA", at positions 524 to 776 of the family's 1533-position model. The record is from RNAcentral.